AGCAGCCGCGGUAAUACGUAGGUGGCAAGCGUUGUCCGGAAUUAUUGGGCGUAAAGGGCUCGCAGGCGGUUUCUUAAGUCUGAUGUGAAAGCCCCCGGCUCAACCGGGGAGGGUCAUUGGAAACUGGGGAACUUGAGUGCAGAAGAGGAGAGUGGAAUUCCACGUGUAGCGGUGAAAUGCGUAGAGAUGUGGAGGAACACCAGUGGCGAAGGCGACUCUCUGGUCUGUAACUGACGCUGAGGAGCGAAAGCGUGGGGAGCGAACAGGAUUAGAUACCCUGGUAGUCCACGCCGUAAACGAUGAGUGCUAAGUGUUAGGGGGUUUCCGCCCCUUAGUGCUGCAGCUAACGCAUUAAGCACUCCGCCUGGGGAGUACGGUCGCAAGACUGAAACUCAA
RNAcentral lists this ribosomal RNA (396 nucleotides) under Bacillus velezensis. RNAcentral's name for it is "bacterial SSU rRNA". It matches the Rfam family "Bacterial small subunit ribosomal RNA", at positions 510 to 904 of the family's 1533-position model. The record is from RNAcentral. Lineage: Bacteria; Bacillati; Bacillota; Bacilli; Caryophanales; Bacillaceae.